RNAcentral lists this ribosomal RNA (449 nucleotides) under uncultured bacterium. RNAcentral describes it as "partial 16S ribosomal RNA". It matches the Rfam family "Bacterial small subunit ribosomal RNA", at positions 354 to 796 of the family's 1533-position model. The record is from RNAcentral.
GUCGAGAAUCUUUCACAAUGGGGGCAACCCUGAUGGAGCGACGCCGCGUGGAGGAUAAGGUCUUCGGAUUGUAAACUCCUGUCAUGCGUGAACAAGGUUGCUUGGUUAAUACCUGGGCAAAUUGAUGGUAACGCAAGAGGAAGAGACGGCUAACUCUGUGCCAGCAGCCGCGGUAAUACAGAGGUCUCAAGCGUUGUUCGGAAUCACUGGGCGUAAAGGGUGCGUAGGUGGCGUGGUAAGUCAGAUGUGAAAGCCCGGGGCUCAACCUCGGAACUGCAUCCGAUACUGCCAUGCUAGAGUACUGGAGAGGUGACUGGAAUUCUCGGUGUAGCAGUGAAAUGCGUAGAUAUCGAGAGGAAUACCAAAGGCGUAGGCAGGACACUGGACAGUUACUGACACUGAGGCACGAAGGCCAGGGGAGCGAACGGGAUUAGAAACCCGGGUAGUCC